GAUGAACGCUGGCGGCGUGCCUAAUACAUGCAAGUCGAGCGAACGGACGAGAAGCUUGCUUCUCUGAUGUUAGCGGCGGACGGGUGAGUAACACGUGGAUAACCUACCUAUAAGACUGGGAUAACUUCGGGAAACCGUAGCUAAUACCGGAUAAUAUUUUGAACCGCAUGGUUCAAAAGUGAAAGACGGUCUUGCUGUCACUUAUAGAUGGAUCCGCGCUGCAUUAGCUAGUUGGUAAGGUAACGUCUUACCAAGGCAACGAUGCAUAGCCGACCUGAGAGGGUGAUCGGCCACACUGGAACUGAGACACGGUCCAGACCCCUACGGGAGGCAGCAGUAGGGAAUCUUCCGCAAUGGGCGAAAGCCUGACGGAGCAACGCCGCGUGAGUGAUGAAGGUCUUCGGAUCGUAAAACUCUGUUAUUAGGGAAGAACAUAUGUGUAAGUAACUGUGCACAUCUUGACGGUACCUAAUCAGAAAGCCACGGCUAACUACGUG
Molecule: ribosomal RNA, 497 nt
Filed under: uncultured bacterium
Lineage: Bacteria
Description: partial 16S ribosomal RNA
Rfam family: Bacterial small subunit ribosomal RNA
Source: RNAcentral